UAGAUGGCAGUAGUGGCUUUACUAGUAGGUGACCGCUGUUAUUCUUCCCUUGAAAGACGUUAGCCAGGAAGGAAGACAGAGGACAGCAGCAGCAAAAAGAGAGUCUGAUAUUCGUCGAAGACUGUCUUCUUUCUGUGUUUGCAGAUGGAUGCUGUGUUGAGUGGCAGAUAUAAGCAGUCUGUCAUGUGUGUCUUGGUAAGUCAUUUAAUUUUAUGACAGUUUUAGUGAUAUUGUGUAAUUUGCUGAACUACUUUUGGCUGUAAUCGUGGUUUUCAACAGACGUUAGCCCAGUCUAAGCCUACGACAGUUAGGAUGGCAGCAAACAAAAAAGAUGACAUUCAUCCAAGACUACUGUGUUUGCAGGUGUAAAAAGUGCACAAGUGCACUUUAUACAUUUGGGUUAAGUUUAUUCUUGUAUGUUUGUGAACAUAAAAACAUGUUCAGGGAGUCAUUUAUGUUAGAAAAUAAAGUAGCUACCCAAUGCUAGCUUAAUUAGCUACUCUAGCCAUGUUGUGCACGCUAACGUUAGCUGAAAAGCUUUAAAGUGGUGAAUUGAAUUUAUUAUUGUGAAAAAUGCAGUCUUCUGUGUGUCUUGGUAAGUCAUUUAAUUCUAUGUUUUAGUUAUAUUGUGUAACUUCCUGCAUUACAUUUGGUCAUAAUCCUGUUUUCUGAAGAAGUUACCGUAAACUCAGUCUGAGCAUAAGACAAGACAACAGCAAACAAGAAAGCCCAUAAGCCCAUAUUUAUCGAAGACUACGGUGUUUACAGGUGAGAAAAGUGCACCAUAUACAUUCAAAGUUUAUUCUCAUAUGUUGUGCCAUGUUUUUAUGUUUAGGGAGCUAUUUAUGUUUGAAAAUAAGCUUGCUAAUGCUAUCUUAACUAAUUAGGGCUGAAACUAGGCAUGUUGUACACACUAAUGUUAGCUGUAUGGCUUUACUGUAGUAAACUGAUGUUAUAACUGUAUUCCAAUGUGAGAAGAUGAAGUUUCAAAAACAAAUGCAGUGUUCACGUUGCGAUGUAAGCAGACUUUUGUAGUAGCAUAUUAGAAAAUAAAGCCACUAACUAACGCUAGCUUAAUUAGCUACUGUAGCCAUGUGUUAACGUUAGCUGUAUAGCUUUAAAGUGGUGAACUGAAUUUAUUAUUGUGUAAGAUGUUGUAAUGUUACAGAAACAUGCUAACGUUAUGUUCAGUGGCUGAUAUAAGCAGUCUUUUGUGUGUGCCUUGGUACGGCAUUUAAUUUCAUGACAGUUGAGUGAGUUGUAUUGUGUGACUUGCUGAAUUUCUUUUGGCUGUAAUCCUGGUUUUCGUUGGAAGUUAGCCCAGCCUGAGCAUACGAUAGUCAGGAUAGCAUCAAACAAGAAAGCCCAUAUUCAUUCAAAACCACAGUUUUUACAGGUUAGUGCAAAAUUGCACCAUAUACAUUCAAAGUUCAUUCUCAUUUGUAUUACCUUGUUUUAAUGUUUGUGGAAUCAUUUAUGUUCAAACAUAAGACAGCUAACUAAUGCUAUCUUAACUAGCUAGGGCCGACUCUAAGCAUGCUGUGCACUCUAAUGUUAGCUGUAUGGCUUUACCCAAGUAAACUGAUCUUGGUCUUAUUUUUCAUGUAAGAUGUAAUGUUACGGACAAAUACAUUAUUCACUGGCUGAUGUAGGCAGUCUUUUGUAGUAGUAGUAGUAGUAGUAGUAGUAGGCUGCACAUUUCAUAUUGUGUCUUGGUAGUUUAUUUCAUUUUAUGAAAAUUUUAGUGAUAUUGUUAAUCUCAGCGAAUUACUUUUCUCUGUAAUCCUAGUUUUCAAAGGAAGUUAACCAGUCUGAGCGUUAUCUGACCAGGAUAACAGCAAACAAGAAAGCACAUAUUCAUCCAAGACAAUGGUAUUUACAUGUAAGAAAAGUGCACAACUGCACCAUAUACAGUAUCUCACAUAAGUGAGUACACCCCUCCCAUUUUUGGAAUUAUUUUAUUAUAUCUUUUCAUGGGACAACACUAUAAUGACACUUUGAUAUAACUUAAAGUAGUUAGUGUACAGCUUGUAUAGUAGUAUACAUUUACCUUCCUCUGAAAAUUACUCAAAACACAGCCAUCAAAAUCUAAACAGCUGGCAACACAAGUGAGUACACCCCACAGUGAACAUGUCCAAAUUGUGCCUAAAGUGUCAAUAUUUUGUGUGCCAACCAUUAUUAUCUAGCACUGCCUUAGCCCUUUUGGGCAUGGAAUUCACCAGAGCUCACAGGUUGCUUCAGGAAUCCUCUCCCACUCCUCCAUGAUGACAUCAUGGAACAGAUGGAUGUGAAGACACCUUGCGCUCCUCCACCUUCAGCUUGAGGAUGCCCCACAGGUGCACAGGAACUUGAAUUGAGGAAUAAUCUGAUGUUAAGAGGAAUACUCCCCACUCUUCCAGAAGCUUUGAUAAGGCCUCCUCUCCAAACAGCAGCUGGAAGUCUUAUAGGACCAAUCCCUUUGUGUCAAGGAAUCUUGGGAAGACUGUGAGCACUGUGCUGGAUUUCUCGGGAUCAUGAAUCACUUCUGUCUGUACU
This is a long non-coding RNA of Epinephelus fuscoguttatus (brown-marbled grouper), 2535 nucleotides long. RefSeq lists it as uncharacterized. The record is from RefSeq and is a predicted model, not a curated record. The transcript has 4 exons. NCBI's taxonomy places the organism in Eukaryota, Metazoa, Chordata, Actinopteri, Perciformes, Serranidae.